RNAcentral lists this unclassified non-coding RNA (391 nucleotides) under soil metagenome. RNAcentral describes it as "partial contains 5.8S ribosomal RNA, internal transcribed spacer 2, and large subunit ribosomal RNA". The stretch from base 1 to 122 matches the Rfam family "5.8S ribosomal RNA", at positions 35 to 154 of the family's 154-position model. The record is from RNAcentral.
GAUGAAGAACGUAGCGAAAUGCGAUACUUGGUGUGAGUUGCAGAAUCCCGUGAACCAUCGAGUCUUUGAACGCAAGUUGCGCCCGAAGCCAUUAGGCCGAGGGCACGCCUGCCUGGGCGUCACACGUCGUUGCCCCCCCAUCUACUCCUUCGGGAUUGCGGGGGGCGGAUGAUGGCCUCUCGUGCGCCUCGUCGCGCGGUUGGCCUAAAUGCCAAGUCCUCGGCGACGCACGCCACGACAAUCGGUGGUUGCGAAACCUCGGUUGCCUGUCGUGUGCGGUCGUCGCGCAUCGAGGGCUCGAAAAAAUUGCCGGGCUUCGGCUCGACUUUCAACGCGACCCCAGGUCAGGCGGGGUUACCCGCUGAAUUUAAGCAUAUCAAUAAGCGGAGGA